AUACAAUGGAGAGUUUGAUCCUGGCUCAGGAUGAACGCUAGCGGGAGGCCUAACACAUGCAAGCCGAGCGGUAGAUUGCUUUCGGGCAAUUGAGAGCGGCGUACGGGUGCGGAACACGUGUGCAACCUGCCUUUAUCUGGGGGGAUAGCCUUUCGAAAGGAAGAUUAAUACCCCAUAAUAUAAGAGACGGCAUCGUUUUUUUAUUGAAAACUCCGGUGGAUAGAGAUGGGCACGCGCAAGAUUAGAUAGUUGGUGAGGUAACGGCUCACCAAGUCGACGAUCUUUAGGGGGCCUGAGAGGGUGAUCCCCCACACUGGUACUGAGACACGGACCAGACUCCUACGGGAGGCAGCAGUGAGGAAUAUUGGACAAUGGGUGAAAGCCUGAUCCAGCCAUCCCGCGUGAAGGACGACGGCCCUAUGGGUUGUAAACUUCUUUUGUAUAGGGAUAAACCUUUCCACGUGUGGAAAGCUGAAGGUACUAUACGA
RNAcentral lists this ribosomal RNA (488 nucleotides) under Chryseobacterium sp. P1-3. RNAcentral's name for it is "bacterial SSU rRNA". It matches the Rfam family "Bacterial small subunit ribosomal RNA", at positions 1 to 485 of the family's 1533-position model. The record is from RNAcentral. Lineage: Bacteria; Pseudomonadati; Bacteroidota; Flavobacteriia; Flavobacteriales; Weeksellaceae.